RNAcentral lists this transfer RNA (78 nucleotides) under Paenibacillus sp. GSMTC-2017. RNAcentral describes it as "tRNA-Arg". It matches the Rfam family "tRNA". From Rfam's summary of the family: Transfer RNA (tRNA) molecules are approximately 80 nucleotides in length. Their secondary structure includes four short double-helical elements and three loops (D, anti-codon, and T loops). The record is from RNAcentral. Lineage: Bacteria; Bacillati; Bacillota; Bacilli; Caryophanales; Paenibacillaceae.
GCGCCCGUAGCUCAGCUGGAUAGAGCAACCGUUUCCUAAACGGUGGGUCGCGGGUUCAAAUCCCGCCGCGGCGCGCCA